UGUCUCCCCCCUCCAAUCAGUGAAACUGAUCUCCCCGUGAAGAAGCGGGGAUACAAAUAUAAGACGAGAAGACCCCAUGGAGCUUUAAACCCAACAGCACCCGUUUAUUUUCAUCCUCACAUAAGUUAGGUUAUGCCUGUUUGGUUUUAGGUUGGGGUGACCACGGAGUAUAAAACAACCUCCAUGAAAAAAGGACCAAAAAUCCUUAUUAGAGAAAGACAUUUCUAAAAUUAAUAAAUUAAUUUUUAAUGAUCCGAUAUUCGAUCAACGAACCAAGUUACCCUGGGGAUAACAGCGCAAUCCACUUCAAGAGCUCCUAUCGACAAGUGGGUUUACGACCUCGAUGUUGGAUCAGGGUAUCCUAGUGGUGCAGCAGCUACUAACGGUUCGUUUGUUCAACGAUUAAAACCCU
Molecule: ribosomal RNA, 412 nt
Filed under: Boophis elenae
Lineage: Eukaryota; Metazoa; Chordata; Amphibia; Anura; Mantellidae
Description: partial 16S ribosomal RNA
Rfam family: Bacterial large subunit ribosomal RNA
Source: RNAcentral